GACGAACGCUGGCGGCGUGCUUAACACAUGCAAGUCGAACGGAAAGGCCCUGCUUGCAGGGUACUCGAGUGGCGAACGGGUGAGUAACACGUGGGUGAUCUGCCCUGCACUUCGGGAUAAGCCUGGGAAACUGGGUCUAAUACCGGAUAGGAGCCAUUUUUAGUGUGAUGGUUGGAAAGUUUUUUCGGUGUAGGAUGAGCUCGCGGCCUAUCAGCUUGUUGGUGGGGUAAUGGCCUACCAAGGCGGCGACGGGUAGCCGGCCUGAGAGGGUGGACGGCCACAUUGGGACUGAGAUACGGCCCAGACUCCUACGGGGGGCAGCAGUGGGGAAUAUUGCACAAUGGGCGCAAGCCUGAUGCAGCGACGCCGCGUGGGGGAUGACGGCCUUCGGGUUGUAAACGCCUUUCGCUAGGGACGAAGCUUUUUGUGACGGUACCUAGAUAAGAAGCACCGGCUAACUACGUG
RNAcentral lists this ribosomal RNA (465 nucleotides) under uncultured bacterium. RNAcentral describes it as "partial 16S ribosomal RNA". It matches the Rfam family "Bacterial small subunit ribosomal RNA", at positions 28 to 507 of the family's 1533-position model. The record is from RNAcentral.